ACGUACACUCCUGCGGGAGGCAGCAGUGGGGAAUAUUGGACAAUGGGCGCAAGCCUGAUCCAGCCAUGCCGCGUGAGUGAUGAAGGCCCUAGGGUUGUAAAGCUCUUUCACCGGUGAAGAUAAUGACGGUAACCGGAGAAGAAGCCCCGGCUAACUUCGUGCCAGCAGCCGCGGUAAUACGAAGGGGGCUAGCGUUGUUCGGAUUUACUGGGCGUAAAGCGCACGUAGGCGGACUAUUAAGUCAGGGGUGAAAUCCCGGGGCUCAACCCCGGAACUGCCUUUGAUACUGGUAGUCUUGAGUUCGGGAGAGGUGAGUGGAAUUCCGAGUGUAGAGGUGAAAUUCGUAGAUAUUCGGAGGAACACCAGUGGCGAAGGCGGCUCACUGGCUCGAUACUGACGCUAAGGUGCGAAAGCGUGGGGAGCAAACAGGAUUAGAAACCCUAGUAGUCCC
Molecule: ribosomal RNA, 451 nt
Filed under: uncultured organism
Description: partial 16S ribosomal RNA
Rfam family: Bacterial small subunit ribosomal RNA
Source: RNAcentral